This is a long non-coding RNA of Capra hircus (goat), 1782 nucleotides long. Lineage: Eukaryota; Metazoa; Chordata; Mammalia; Artiodactyla; Bovidae. The record is from Ensembl.
GGAACCUCAGAUUGCAGCUUUUAAAGUAUGCAAAUAUAUCUCUUUCAGGGGAAGACAGGGAGAUGGGUGUUUCUGUCUGCUUUCUCUGUGCUGAGCCCUGGGAUGAUAACCCGUUCAGAACUAGUCUUUUGUUCACUACCAUCCUGUUGAACCCAUGAAUGUAAGCCCCACUGGACAUCAGAGCCAGUUGGAUUUGUUGCUCUUGACUUCUACAAAACAAGAAAUGAAGACUAGGCAGUGUGAAGCAAUGGAAAGAUGGCUACAUCUUGGCAGUCUUAUUUUCAGAAGAUUAUCUGGUAUUCUUUAUUGAGAACCAGGAAAGACAAGCUUCAAGGCAGGGCAGUUGAAUGUCCUGAGCACCUGUCCCUUGACCUGCAGACAUAAAGUGAGGAUAAAUACUGGCCAAGAUGUAACAAACUUCGAUGGAGAAUCCUGGGCCACGUGGUGGCAUGCAGACCUUUUGUUACUGGGAAGUGAUGGGAGCUCCCUCAUGGGAGGGGCAGAGUGCCCUCCCUUGUCUCCACCUCCCCAUCAGGACCUGGAAGAAUCAGAAUCUGUCUCCCAUUGCUCUGGGGGUAGGAGGUCCCCUUCUGAGCUGGACAGGGAGAGAAUCUAUUCUAGAAUAGAUGAUCUCACCUCUUCCACCUAUUACUGUAUCAGCCAGGAAGGAGCUUGGGCGGCCACGUGGCUGAAGGAUUCGGGGAGCUCACGGUGCGGGCAGGCAGGACAGCCCAGCUCGCGCGGUGAGGAGGUCUCCUCCAAGGGUUCCUGAAGGAAGCGGGGCUCGGGUCUCCUGCAUUCUGGAAUUCUCAACCUACCUGUUCCCGAAUCCUCCCUCCCCACCCCAGGCUUUCAGCCCUCGGGUGCCUGGGACAGAAACAUCUUGACUCUCUUCCUUCUCUAAAUUUCCUUCUCGAGCCUCAGGCUGGGCUUUCCUUGAAUCCCUGCCCUUUCCGACCACCUCCCUCCUCUGUUGGCAGUUCAAACUCUACAGUCUAGUCCUCUGUGCUGGGCCGACAGUUAUUUCAAAGCCCAUCUUUGAGAUUUCUGGGAAAAUGCUUUCUCUUUCGUGUCUGGUUGUUGUAAUUGAAAGCUGGACAUUUUCGCAUCGACUGUGAACCCUUGGGGGAAAAAAAAUCAUGGCGGGGCUGUGCCUUUAUUCUAGACAGAUUCCCCUAUCCCCUGCGGCCAUGCUCACCUCAGCCUCACUGUGUGAAGAGCCCCAGGGUGGCACGCUUGAGUGGGAAUGAGAGAGAGACGAUUGAAAACAAAGUAUCUUUCCUGCUACCCCUCCAUUAAUUGAUAACAUGCUGCCUUUAUCAUACUUCCGUAUCUUCUUAUUUUCACAUCUCCCUUCGAUUUACCCACUGACUCUCACCCAGAUGCUCAGUCUGAGGUAAAGAGGGGCCAAAGCCCUAUUCAUCUCUAGAUUUCUUCAGCUCCUAAUGGGGUAUCAUCAGUGUCAUUGCCCUCCUCCCUCCGGAAGUGUUUGCUGCAUUGAGUUAAUUCUCAGUAUUUUAUUUAAAUUUCUGUAAAAUAGCUAUUUGUUUAUUUUUGAGAAAAAUGUCUCCUUUGCCUCUCUCCUUUUCUGGGUUGCUUAUUUAAAAUCCCGAGUAGAAAAUAAAACGCUCUCAGGAAUUUAACCUCUGAUUUUUUGAAACUUAUGCUUCCUUUAUUUAUAGUAAUGAUACCUGAAACCACCACCUGGACACUGCUUUAAAAAGGCACUGGCUGUCAUUAGCUUUGCUUGAUUAAAAAAGAGCUCAGAUAUGAUUCCCACAG